UAAGUACAACAAAAAGAAGUUAAACCUUAUAAAUAAGUCUGACCAACCAAUUCUAGCAAGCAGAAUACAGAUGAAAGGAUCAUUCACUUGGGAAUGUCCUGAUAUGCAUCAUCGACUAAACCCAGAUUACAACCAUGGCCUCCUUCCUUGCUCCUUAAUCCUGAAAAAGCAAAUAAUGUUUUUGAUCAACUUUACCCUACAAUAGAACAACAUAUAAUAGCCACAACUUACAUCAGCAUCAGAACGCGGCAAGGGGCUGCGAGAACCAGCACGUCUACCCCG
This 282-nucleotide long non-coding RNA is filed under the name Solanum pimpinellifolium. RNAcentral's name for it is "long non-coding RNA (SPIM_LNC000102)". Lineage: Eukaryota; Viridiplantae; Streptophyta; Magnoliopsida; Solanales; Solanaceae. The record is from RNAcentral.